GCUCGAGUGGCGAACGGGUGAGUAACACGUGAGUAACCUGCCCUUGACUUUGGGAUAACUUCAGGAAACUGGGGCUAAUACCGGAUAGGAGCUCCUGCUGCAUGGUGGGGGUUGGAAAGUUUCGGCGAUUGGGGAUGGACUCGCGGCUUAUCAGCUUGUUGGUGGGGUAGUGGCUUACCAAGGCUUUGACGGGUAGCCGGCCUGAGAGGGUGACCGGCCACAUUGGGACUGAGAUACGGCCCAG
RNAcentral lists this ribosomal RNA (244 nucleotides) under uncultured Actinomycetales bacterium. Its description in RNAcentral is "partial 16S ribosomal RNA". It matches the Rfam family "Bacterial small subunit ribosomal RNA", at positions 89 to 334 of the family's 1533-position model. Lineage: Bacteria; Bacillati; Actinomycetota; Actinomycetes; Actinomycetales. The record is from RNAcentral.